This is a non-coding RNA of Cyanistes caeruleus (blue tit), 376 nucleotides long. NCBI's taxonomy places the organism in Eukaryota, Metazoa, Chordata, Aves, Passeriformes, Paridae. The record is from RefSeq and is a predicted model, not a curated record.
UCCUUUAUUUUACUACAUGUUCAGAGAACCUCUCAAACUCUCUCCCUUAGAGAGACUAAGUACCAUUUACUCCCAUACUGCAUCUCUUAAAAGCAGCUCUGGCUUCUGCUGUUUUUGUGGCAUAACCUUACUGCAAAUUCUUAUUUUUUGUAGAAUCAGAUUUACAGCAAAGGUAGCCUAUUUACAUUAACUCUAAUAUACCUAAAUGAGUGGCCAUUCUCUUAGGGAUGCUAGAAAAAGAAAUGCUGCAAUCUUGGCAAACCAGGAUAUAAUUUCCAAUCAAAAGAGGAAGGAAUAUCCUGUCCAAGCUACAGUGUGCAUCAAAAAAAUUGAUCCCUUCUAAUCCACUGUCUACAUUACAGAUGGAACCCAUUAC